Molecule: ribosomal RNA, 465 nt
Filed under: uncultured bacterium
Lineage: Bacteria
Description: partial 16S ribosomal RNA
Rfam family: Bacterial small subunit ribosomal RNA
Source: RNAcentral
GACGAACGCUGGCGGCGUGCUUAACACAUGCAAGUCGAACGGAAAGGCCCUGCUUGCAGGGUACUCGAGUGGCGAACGGGUGAGUAACACGUGGGUGAUCUGCCCUGCACUUCGGGAUAAGCCUGGGAAACUGGGUCUAAUACCGGAUAGGAGCCAUUUUUAUUGUGAUGGUUGGAAAGCUUUUUCGGUGUAGGAUGAGCUCGCGGCCUAUCAGCUUGUUGGUGGGGUAAUGGCCUACCAAGGCGGCGACGGGUAGCCGGCCUGAGAGGGUGGACGGCCACAUUGGGACUGAGAUACGGCCCAGACUCCGACGGGAGGCAGCAGUGGGGAAUAUUGCACAAUGGGCGCAAGCCUGAUGCAGCGACGCCGCGUGGGGGAUGACGGCCUUCGGGUUGUAAACUCCUUUCGCUAGGGACGAAGCUUUUUGUGACGGUACCUAGAUAAGAAGCACCGGCUAACUACGUG